Chrysemys picta bellii (western painted turtle) is the source of this 1555-nucleotide non-coding RNA. NCBI's taxonomy places the organism in Eukaryota, Metazoa, Chordata, Testudines, Emydidae. The record is from RefSeq and is a predicted model, not a curated record.
GGUGGAGAAGAGCUGUGGCACCUAUAGAAGAAGCGAAUGUGACUCUGGAUCCAGACACGGCUCAUCCCAAACUCGUCCUGUCUGAGGAUCGGAAAAGUGUGAGAUGGGGAGGCAUGUGGCAGCAUCUGUCCAACAACCCUGAGAGAUUUGACACUGUGUUCUGUGUGCUGGGCUGUGAGGGAUUCACCUUGGGGAGACAUUGCUGGGAGGUAGAGGUGGGGGAUGGGACAUUUUGGGCUGUAGGGGUGGCCAGAGAGUCUGUAGGGAGGAAAGGAUGGAUCAGCCGUAGCCCAGAGGGAGGGAUCUGGGCUGUGGAGUGGUGGUGGGGUCAGUUCCGGGCUCUCACCUCCCCUGUGACCCUCCUGCCCCUAACCCGGGCCCCCAGCAGGAUCCGGAUUUGUCUGGACUGUGAACGGGGUCAGGUGACAUUUAUCGAUGCUGGUGAUGACACCCAGAUCUUCACUUUCCCACCGGGCUUCAUCCCUCGGGAGAGAAUCCGACCCUGGCUCUGGGUCUUGGGACCCCAGCUCAGACUGUGUCCGUGAUACUGGGGACCCUGAAAUUAGCAUCUCUUACCUCACACACCCCAGUCUCUAUGAAUCUGGAGGACUCCCAUCUAUCCAGCCUCUGGCUUCUCAUCUCUAUGACCCCUGGAAGCUCCUUCCCCUCCCUGCAUCCCCAGGGAUGGAAGGGGGGUGAAGAACCCCUGUAGCUGCAGAAGGAGCAGAGGGGCCCUGAAGGGCAGAGGUGGGGGCUGGGCAGGGGGCAGAACUAACAGCCGGGCUGGGGACAGGUGGAUGUGGGGGUGGCGGCGACACAGCAUGAAUCAAUCAGGGUUUGGGGGGUUGGGGAGAAGCUGGAAGCUCUGCAGCAGCAGGGAGCGGUUUGUACAGAUCUGUGUCAUUGGAUCUCAUUGGGGUCUCCCAGCCAGAGCUCCUGAUGCAGGGGCCCAAGGCACUUUCCCCUGUAACUACGGGAGAGCUGGUAACACUGGAUGAGAGAGUUCAAAAAUCAGAAGAUAAACCAGAAUACAUUGUUUGGAGCCCUCGUGUUUGCGGGGGGGGCAAUUUCACGAUCGUUGGCUCUGACUCAUGAUUAUUAAGUUCUGGGAUUGGUAACACUGCGAGAGUCAUUGAUUGGGGGAGGUGCAGGCUGGGCUGAAAAAGAGAAAACCCAAGAAAAAGAUAAAGUAAAACAAGAAAGGGUGAAAAUUAAAUAUCAAAACAAGGAAAGGAAAACACUCUGAAGAAGGGAAAGAGCCAGAGGCAGUGAGAGGGGAAGGGAUAAAUUCAGGGGAAAGAAUGGAGACCAUGAGGGGAAUGAUCUGUGACAGGGAUCAGAGGAGAGUGGAAGACACAGAGAAAUAAACAGGGAUGGGAAAUGAGUGCUAGAAAAAUGGUGAGUACAAAUGACCAGUGUGACAGAGAAGGGGGGAAAAAAGGGACAGAGAAUUAUAAAACGUCACUGAAGGUGCAACUGUCACUCAUUUAUUUCAUUUGUUACUUCCUUGACUUUGUUGCCAUUUUAGUGUCAUUAAAAAUAACUGUUCCCAAAA